RNAcentral lists this ribosomal RNA (410 nucleotides) under uncultured bacterium. RNAcentral describes it as "partial 16S ribosomal RNA". It matches the Rfam family "Bacterial small subunit ribosomal RNA", at positions 356 to 782 of the family's 1533-position model. The record is from RNAcentral.
GGGGAAUAUUGCACAAUGGGCGAAAGCCUGAUGCAGCAACGCCGCGUGAGUGAUGAAGGUCUUCGGAUUGUAAAGCUCUGUCUUUUGGGACGAUAAUGACGGUACCAAAGGAGGAAGCCACGGCUAACUACGUGCCAGCAGCCGCGGUAAUACGUAGGUGGCGAGCGUUGUCCGGAUUUACUGGGCGUAAAGGGUGCGUAGGCGGAUGUUUAAGUGAGAUGUGAAAUACCCGGGCUUAACUUGGGUGCUGCAUUUCAAACUGGAUAUCUAGAGUGCAGGAGAGGAGAAUGGGAUUCCUAGUGUAGCGGUGAAAUGCGUAGAGAUUAGGAAGAACACCAGUGGCGAAGGCGAUUCUCUGGACUGUAACUGACGCUGAGGCACGAAAGCGUGGGGUAGCAAACAGGAUUAGA